UGUCCAUUCCACUCACCCAACUCCACUACCAACCUAACAACAAGCUGCUGUCAGCAACUGAAAGCCUUCACGUCCCCUACCGAGCCAAAUGAACCUGCUAAAAUAGCCGCUUUCCACAAUAGGCCAGAACCGAGAAGUGAACCCUGUCAGCAGUUAGGAAUGUUGAUGUUGUCCUGCAGAGGGACACUGGAGACCUGCGCUGUUACUGAGGCAGAAUGGACAUGAGUAUCUUGCAACAACCACUGAGUGAUUCACAGCAACUCCACAGAAAACCCUGAGCUAUGACAGGACAGUGUAAAUUUCUACCCAUAGUGGUGUUUGGAGACCACGACCCUCCAUAACAGCUUUAUUCUGCAGGUGUCUAAAACUGUACAGCAUGGAUUAACACAGUUCUUCAAAGAGAUAUUCCUUCAAUUGGUGUUUUGCAAUACUUUAGUAUUGAUCUGCUUUAGUAUCGAUUAGCACAGGUUUAUGUUUUAAUGUAUCACGUGUAUGCACAACUUCAGAUUAGGCCAUAAGUGUUUUCUGUUGUAGAAAUAGCAUUCACAGGUGAGCAAAGCGACAACAAAGAGAACGGGAUCAGAGCCCAAGAAGGCUAAAAUGUUUAACCUCAAAGGGAGUAUGUAUUUUAUUUCUGUAGAUAAAUGAGGCUUUUCAAAUCUAACGUGUGGGUUAUUUCCAUAUGUUCAAAGAUACAACGUGUGUAAUCAUCUAUCGACCGUGUGUGUGUGUGUGUGUGUGUGGCUUGAGGGUGCGCACCACAGCUGGGUGCUGGCAGUUUGUAGGCUUAACAUCACAUUAUAACUUGACUUCGUUGCCAAAACGCCGUCUGUGUUAUGAUUACACCUUAGAUAAAGAAAAGAGCGCAGUUUUACAUAACUCAAAAAAAUAAACGAAAGAAAGAAAGGACGGCCCAAAUUCACCACAGCACUGCAUACUUAAACAUUUGUACCUAGCGUGUGAUGUC
This is a long non-coding RNA of Silurus meridionalis, 967 nucleotides long. RefSeq lists it as uncharacterized. NCBI's taxonomy places the organism in Eukaryota, Metazoa, Chordata, Actinopteri, Siluriformes, Siluridae. The transcript has 4 exons. The record is from RefSeq and is a predicted model, not a curated record.